This 770-nucleotide ribosomal RNA is filed under the name Zunongwangia profunda. Its description in RNAcentral is "bacterial SSU rRNA". It matches the Rfam family "Bacterial small subunit ribosomal RNA", at positions 398 to 1167 of the family's 1533-position model. The record is from RNAcentral. Lineage: Bacteria; Pseudomonadati; Bacteroidota; Flavobacteriia; Flavobacteriales; Flavobacteriaceae.
CGCGUGCAGGAAGACGGCCCUAUGGGUUGUAAACUGCUUUUACAGAGGAAGAACCCUCCUUACGUGUAAGGAGCUGACGGUACUCUAUGAAUAAGGAUCGGCUAACUCCGUGCCAGCAGCCGCGGUAAUACGGAGGAUCCAAGCGUUAUCCGGAAUCAUUGGGUUUAAAGGGUCCGUAGGCGGGUCUAUAAGUCAGUGGUGAAAGUCUGCAGCUUAACUGUAGAACUGCCAUUGAUACUGUAGACCUUGAAUUAGUAUGAAGUGGUUAGAAUGUGUAGUGUAGCGGUGAAAUGCAUAGAUAUUACACAGAAUACCGAUUGCGAAGGCAGAUCACUAAUACUAUAUUGACGCUGAUGGACGAAAGCGUAGGUAGCGAACAGGAUUAGAUACCCUGGUAGUCUACGCCGUAAACGAUGGUUACUAGCUGUCCGGCCUAAUUGAGGGCUGGGUGGUUAAGCGAAAGUGAUAAGUAACCCACCUGGGGAGUACGUUCGCAAGAAUGAAACUCAAAGGAAUUGACGGGGGCCCGCACAAGCGGUGGAGCAUGUGGUUUAAUUCGAUGAUACGCGAGGAACCUUACCAGGGCUUAAAUGCAGUCUGACGUAUCUGGAAACAGAUAUUUCUUCGGACAGAUUGCAAGGUGCUGCAUGGUUGUCGUCAGCUCGUGCCGUGAGGUGUCAGGUUAAGUCCUAUAACGAGCGCAACCCCUGUGGUUAGUUGCCAGCGAGUAAUGUCGGGAACUCUAGCCAGACUGCCGGUGCAAACCGUGA